This 425-nucleotide ribosomal RNA is filed under the name uncultured bacterium. Its description in RNAcentral is "partial 16S ribosomal RNA". It matches the Rfam family "Bacterial small subunit ribosomal RNA", at positions 354 to 796 of the family's 1533-position model. The record is from RNAcentral.
GUGGGGAAUCUUAGACAAUGGGCGCAAGCCUGAUCUAGCCAUGCCGCGUGAGCGAUGAAGGCCUUAGGGUUGUAAAGCUCUUUCGUGGGGGAAGAUAAUGACUGUACCCCAAGAAGAAGCCCCGGCUAACUCCGUGCCAGCAGCCGCGGUAAUACGGAGGGGGCUAGCGUUGUUCGGAAUUACUGGGCGUAAAGCGCACGUAGGUGGACUGGAAAGUCAGGGGUGAAAUCCCGGGGCUCAACCCCGGAACUGCCUUUGAAACUCCCAGUCUUGAGUUCGAGAGAGGUGAGUGGAAUUCCGGGUGUAGAGGUGAAAUUCGGAGAUAUUCGGAGGAACACCAGUGGCGAAGGCGGCUCACUGGCUCGAUACUGACGCUGAGGUGCGAAAGCGUGGGGAGCAAACAGGAUUAGAUACCCCUGUAGUCC